This 406-nucleotide ribosomal RNA is filed under the name uncultured bacterium. RNAcentral's name for it is "bacterial SSU rRNA". It matches the Rfam family "Bacterial small subunit ribosomal RNA", at positions 84 to 507 of the family's 1533-position model. The record is from RNAcentral.
CCAAUGGUCGAGUGGCGAACGGGUGAGUAACACGUGAGAAACCUGCCCCGGAGACCGGGACAACCAGAGGAAACUCUGGCUAAUACCGGAUGCCCUCAGAUGGUCGCAUGGCCGACUGAGGAAAGGCUCUGGCGCUCUGGGAGGGUCUCGCGGCCUAUCAGCUAGUUGGUGGGGUAACGGCCUACCAAGGCAUCGACGGGUAGCUGGUCUGAGAGGACGAUCAGCCACACUGGGACUGAGACACGGCCCAGACUCCUACGGGAGGCAGCAGUGGGGAAUAUUGCGCAAUGGGCGAAAGCCUGACGCAGCAACGCCGCGUGGGGGAUGAAGGCUUUCGGGUUGUAAACCCCUUUCAGUGAUGACGAAAAUGACGGUAAUCACAGAAGAAGCCCCGGCCAACUACGUG